UGCUUUAUUGCUCAGGAUGAAGAGCAUGAGACUCUUAAUCUCAGGGUUGUGGAUUUGAGCUCCACAUUGGGCAA
Molecule: non-coding RNA, 74 nt
Organism: Podarcis lilfordi (Lilford's wall lizard)
Lineage: Eukaryota; Metazoa; Chordata; Lepidosauria; Squamata; Lacertidae
Source: the annotation of a GenBank genome assembly